Molecule: RNA transcript, 655 nt
Organism: Anopheles coluzzii
Lineage: Eukaryota; Metazoa; Arthropoda; Insecta; Diptera; Culicidae
Gene: SmE
Gene name: probable small nuclear ribonucleoprotein E
Exons: 3
Source: RefSeq, a predicted model, not a curated record
CAGUGGGCUGACCUUACGCUUCGCCCAUUUACACCUUGGCGUCCAAGAAAAGGCAAACAAAGUUGUAUAUUUUCCAAACGCUGUAAAAUAGCUAAAAAUGUCAUUCAAAGGCUCCAAAGUGCAAAAGGUGAUGGUUCAACCCAUCAACCUUAUUUUCCGAUACCUACAGAAUCGAUCUCGAGUGCAAGUGUGGCUGUACGAAAACACGCAUCUGCGAAUAGAAGGACACAUCGUUGGUUUCGACGAGUAUAUGAAUCUGGUGCUAGACGAGGCGGAAGAGUUUAAUAUUAAAAAACAAACCCGACGCCAGCUUGGGCGUAUCAUGCUGAAAGGAGACAACAUAACACUCAUCCAGAACGUGCAGAAUUAGCCGGUGUUGCGUACAAUUGCGUUGUGUUUCGCAGUACCUUAAAUUACAUUAAAUUUAAGAAAUUAGAUGCGCGAAGAUGGUCUACUGAUACUAAGUGUUUCGGAUAAGCAACCCCAGCAGCCAACCGGGUGAAAGACUAAUAAAGUGUUUGUAGAUGUGCCAAAUGUGCCGCAUCGUUCCUAGAUAAAUGCAUCACAUACAUAGCUGAGAAUGCAUCGGAGUGCGUCAAAACGAAUGCAUUUCUGAACCUGACUAAAGAAGGAUUGAUUCAAGUAAUCUCGUAUG